Solanum lycopersicum (tomato) is the source of this 780-nucleotide non-coding RNA. The record is from RefSeq and is a predicted model, not a curated record. Lineage: Eukaryota; Viridiplantae; Streptophyta; Magnoliopsida; Solanales; Solanaceae.
UCAAUUUCUCAACGGUUCAUCUUCUCAAUUUUGAAAAUCAAAAUUUGUGCUCUCUAUCCGUCAGCCUUCGUCUAAUCUGUCCGCCAUUUUUGUCUACUUUGUCAGCCUUUGAAAAUCAAAAUUGUGCUCUCCGUCCGUCCGUCUUCGUCUAAUCUGUCCGCCAUUUUUGUCUACUCUGUCCGCCUUAAAAAAUCAAAUCGCCAAUUUCGUCUACUCUGUCCGCCAUUUUCGUCCAAUAUUCUUGAAAGAUUGGGCAGCAUUGGAUGCAUAUAAAGACAAGAAAACUGGAGAACUUUUGGGUCCACAAUAUUCGUUUAAUGUGGAGUUUGCUCAAGACAACAUGCAACAAAUAAGUGAUAGCCUGUGAGUAUUGUUUAUUAUUUUAUUUUAUUUUUUGUAUCUAUUCAUCCUUAUAAUUAUUCUUAUUGUUUUUGUAGUGAUUGCGGACUAUUCGUAGUUGUAUAUGCAGAAUUCUGAGUGACAAAAUCAACAUGUCAUGUAAUAGUUUUAAGAGUAGCUAUCUUCGCAAAAGAUAUGUGAUUCUUUUAUUGAAGUAUGGUCUCGACAAGAUGAAUGCUGGAUAUGUUAGCAACAGUGAUGACCCUUCAAGAAUGAAGAAUGUAUUAAACCCAUCAUCUGAAGAUGAAAUUGUUAAUGUAGGCUAGUUAGUUUUCAAUGUUUGAUUUUUUUUUGUUUUUUGGAGUUAAACAAGAUGUUUGAAGUAUUUAUUAACAUAACAACACAUAUUGUUAAAUUAUGAAAGUGUUUUGAUUUUUAAAA